This 444-nucleotide ribosomal RNA is filed under the name uncultured Azospira sp. RNAcentral describes it as "bacterial SSU rRNA". It matches the Rfam family "Bacterial small subunit ribosomal RNA", at positions 936 to 1382 of the family's 1533-position model. The record is from RNAcentral. Lineage: Bacteria; Pseudomonadati; Pseudomonadota; Betaproteobacteria; Rhodocyclales; Rhodocyclaceae.
AUUAUGUGGAUUAAUCGAUGCAACGCGAAAACCUUACUACCCUUGACAUGCUAGGAACUUGCCAGAGAUGGCUUGGUGCCCGAAAGGGAACCUAGACACAGGUGCUGCAUGGCUGUCGUCAGCUCGUGUCGUGAGAUGUUGGGUUAAGUCCCGCAACGAGCGCAACCCUUGUCAUUAAUUGCCAUCAUUCAGUUGGGCACUUUAAUGAGACUGCCGGUGACAAACCGGAGGAAGGUGGGGAUGACGUCAAGUCCUCAUGGCCCUUAUGGGUAGGGCUUCACACGUCAUACAAUGGUCGGUACAGAGGGUUGCCAACCCGCGAGGGGGAGCUAAUCCCACAAAGCCGAUCGUAGUCCGGAUCGCAGUCUGCAACUCGACUGCGUGAAGUCGGAAUCGCUAGUAAUCGUGGAUCAGCAUGUCACGGUGAAUACGUUCCCGGGUCUU